This 460-nucleotide ribosomal RNA is filed under the name uncultured bacterium. RNAcentral describes it as "partial 16S ribosomal RNA". It matches the Rfam family "Bacterial small subunit ribosomal RNA", at positions 338 to 795 of the family's 1533-position model. The record is from RNAcentral.
CCUACGGGAGGCAGCAGUGAGGAAUAUUGGUCAAUGGGCGUAAGCCUGAACCAGCCAAGUCGCGUGAGGGAUGAAGGUUCUAUGGAUCGUAAACCUCUUUUAUAAGGGAAUAAAGUUAGGGACGUGUCCCGAUUUGCAUGUACCUUAUGAAUAAGCAUCGGCUAACUCCGUGCCAGCAGCCGCGGUAAUACGGAGGAUGCGAGCGUUAUCCGGAUUUAUUGGGUUUAAAGGGUGCGUAGGCGGCCUUUUAAGUCAGCGGUGAAAGUCUGUGGCUCAACCAUAGAAUUGCCGUUGAAACUGGGAGGCUUGAGUGUGUUUGAGGUAGGCGGAAUGCGUGGUGUAGCGGUGAAAUGCUUAGAUAUCACGCAGAACCCCGAUUGCGAAGGCAGCUUGCCAAGCCAUGACUGACGCUGAUGCACGAAAGCGUGGGGAUCAAACAGGAUUAGAUACCCUUGUAGUC